This 70-nucleotide transfer RNA is filed under the name Caligus rogercresseyi. It matches the Rfam family "tRNA". Rfam says of the family: Transfer RNA (tRNA) molecules are approximately 80 nucleotides in length. Their secondary structure includes four short double-helical elements and three loops (D, anti-codon, and T loops). The record is from Rfam by way of RNAcentral. Lineage: Eukaryota; Metazoa; Arthropoda; Copepoda; Siphonostomatoida; Caligidae.
GCGUCGGUGGUAAAUGUCAGCAUAGCUGCCUUCCAAGCAGUUGAUCCGGGUUCGAUUCCCGGCCGACGCA